AAAGCAGAGAGUGGUAGCACCAUCAGUCCAGCCAGGUCGAGGUGCACUGCUGGGAGAAUUGAGGACAAAUGUAAGCACACUUUUGGCUCUGCACCAGAACGUGUCAGAAUUACGGGAAAAGUACACCAACUUGACUGGCAAUGUUGAGCAGCGUCUCAAGUGGGCAGCUGGUUCGAACCCAACCAUAGCUCAGGCAUUAGAAGAGUUCAGCAAUGGUGUAGAAGUGGCUCUAGAAGGUGUCAGUCAACUUGUGCAUCAGAGCAAGGAAGUGGCAUCCCUAUGUAAUGCUGUGCUACAUUAUGAGGCUCUUCG
This 312-nucleotide long non-coding RNA is filed under the name Penaeus japonicus. Its description in RNAcentral is "uncharacterized LOC122251093". The record is from RNAcentral. Lineage: Eukaryota; Metazoa; Arthropoda; Malacostraca; Decapoda; Penaeidae.